RNAcentral lists this ribosomal RNA (708 nucleotides) under Paracidovorax valerianellae. RNAcentral's name for it is "bacterial SSU rRNA". It matches the Rfam family "Bacterial small subunit ribosomal RNA", at positions 35 to 740 of the family's 1533-position model. Lineage: Bacteria; Pseudomonadati; Pseudomonadota; Betaproteobacteria; Burkholderiales; Comamonadaceae. The record is from RNAcentral.
GCUGGCGGCAUGCCUUACACAUGCAAGUCGAACGGUAACAGGUCUUCGGAUGCUGACGAGUGGCGAACGGGUGAGUAAUACAUCGGAACGUGCCCGAUCGUGGGGGAUAACGGAGCGAAAGCUUUGCUAAUACCGCAUACGAUCUACGGAUGAAAGCAGGGGACCGCAAGGCCUUGCGCGGACGGAGCGGCCGAUGGCAGAUUAGGUAGUUGGUGGGAUAAAAGCUUACCAAGCCGACGAUCUGUAGCUGGUCUGAGAGGACGACCAGCCACACUGGGACUGAGACACGGCCCAGACUCCUACGGGAGGCAGCAGUGGGGAAUUUUGGACAAUGGGCGAAAGCCUGAUCCAGCCAUGCCGCGUGCAGGAUGAAGGCCUUCGGGUUGUAAACUGCUUUUGUACGGAACGAAAAAGCUCUUUCUAAUAAAGGGGGCUCAUGACGGUACCGUAAGAAUAAGCACCGGCUAACUACGUGCCAGCAGCCGCGGUAAUACGUAGGGUGCAAGCGUUAAUCGGAAUUACUGGGCGUAAAGCGUGCGCAGGCGGUUAUGCAAGACAGAUGUGAAAUCCCCGGGCUCAACCUGGGAACUGCAUUUGUGACUGCAUAGCUAGAGUACGGUAGAGGGGGAUGGAAUUCCGCGUGUAGCAGUGAAAUGCGUAGAUAUGCGGAGGAACACCGAUGGCGAAGGCAAUCCCCNGGACCUGUAC